AAGGAAAAAGAAACUGAAUAAGGAAAAAAGAAACCGAAUAAGGAAAUGGAAAUUGAAUAAGGAAAUGAAAAUCCAAUAAGGAAAUAGAAACCGAAUAAGGAACUAGAAACCGAAAAAGGAAAUGAAUAUUGAAAAAGGAAAAAGAAACCGAAUUAGGAAAUGAAAAUCGAAUAAGGAAAUGGAAAUCGAAUAAGGAAACGAAAAUCCAAUAGAAUAAGGAAAUAGAAACCGAAAAAGGAAAUGAAUAUUGAAAAAGGAAAAAGAAACCGAAUAAGGAAAUGAAAAUUGAAUAAGGAAAUGGAAAUCGAAUAAGGAAAUGGAAAUCCAAUAAGGAAAUGAAAAUCCAAUAAGGAAAUAGAAACCGAAUAAGGAAAUAGAAACCGAAAAAGGAAAUGAAUAUUGAAAAAGGAAGAAGAAACCGAAUAAGGAAAAGAAAAUCGAAUAAGGAAAUGAAAAUCGAAUAAGGAAAUGGAAAUCAAAUAAGGAUGAUAAUCGAAAAAGGUAAAAGAAAACGAAUAAGGAAAUGACAAA
Molecule: long non-coding RNA, 531 nt
Filed under: Mytilus galloprovincialis (Mediterranean mussel)
Lineage: Eukaryota; Metazoa; Mollusca; Bivalvia; Mytilida; Mytilidae
Source: RNAcentral